CCUACGGGUGGCAGCAGUGGGGAAUCUUGGGCAAUGGGCGCAAGCCUGACGCAGCAACGCCGCGUGAAGGAAGAAGGCCUUCGGGUUGUAAACUUCUUUUGUCAGGGAAGAGUAGAAGACGGUACCUGACGAAUAAGCCACGGCUAACUACGUGCCAGCAGCCGCGGUACUACGUAGGUGGCAAGCGUUGUCCGGAUUUACUGGGGGUAAAGGGCGGGUAGCCGGGUUGACAAGUCAGAUGUGAAAUCCUGGGGCUUAACCGCAGAACUGCAUUUGAAACUGUUGGUCUUGAGGACUGGAGAGGCAGGCGGAAUUCCUAGUGUAGCGGUGAAAUGCGUAGAUAUUAGGAGGAACACCAGUGGCGAAGGCGGUCUGCUGGACAGCAACUGACGGUGAGGCGCGAAAGCGUGGGGAGCAAACAGGAUUAGAUACCCUAGUAGUC
This 442-nucleotide ribosomal RNA is filed under the name uncultured bacterium. RNAcentral describes it as "partial 16S ribosomal RNA". It matches the Rfam family "Bacterial small subunit ribosomal RNA", at positions 338 to 795 of the family's 1533-position model. The record is from RNAcentral.